AGAACGAACGCGUGCGGCCCUUUAUAUUUAUCAAGCUGAGCGCCAUCCCUCGGUGAUGAGACGGCGGGACGGUGUGAGUAACAGCGUGGGAUCUUCUCUACGGAAUAGCCACUGGAAACGGUGAGUAAUACCGUAUACGCCCUCAGUGGGAAAGAUUUAUCUGGAGAAGGAUCAGCCCGCGUUAGAUUAGGUAGUUGGUGGGGUAACGGCCUACCAAGCCUACGAUCUAUAGCUGGUUUUAGAGGAUGAUCAGCCACACUGGGACUGAGACACGCCCAGACUCCUCGGGAGGCAGCAGAGGGAAUCUGGACAUGGGGGCAACCUGAUCCGACAUGCGGAUGAGUGAAAAAGCCUAAGGUCAUACAGUACUUCGACUGUGAUGAUAAUGACCCUAGCACGUACAAAAACCCCGGCUAACUCCUAUACCACAGACAGCGUAAUCAAAAGGGGAUAGACGUGUACGACAUUACUGGGGUAAAGGAGCGUA
This 487-nucleotide ribosomal RNA is filed under the name uncultured bacterium. RNAcentral describes it as "bacterial SSU rRNA". It matches the Rfam family "Bacterial small subunit ribosomal RNA", at positions 26 to 571 of the family's 1533-position model. The record is from RNAcentral.